CGAAGAAGCUCCUGCCCCUGCCUUCAAAUCAGCACAGCUCUGGCCGUUUUGGACAAUUGGGGAGUGAACUCAUGUGAACUCUUUGACAUCUAUACUCCAAAAAUGGUUUUGGAGGUUGCUUUUGCACUUGUGAUUUUAUUUUCAUUUGUACAAUUGAUGUUUUUGUUUGCAAUAAAACAUAGAAAACACCUGGUAUUUUUAUUGGUUAUUCUAUUUCAUGUCCUUCAGCACCCAGUUUAAAGUUGUGGCCCCUGGUACCCUACAUCACCUGCAUUUCUAGCCUUAGACCCACAAAGCUCCCUAUUGAUCUGUCCAAGUCUUUUGUCUUGUGUUUUUCUGAAUGAUUCAACAACGUUUCAGUUGAUAACUGCCCAAACUGGGCAGGUUUGCCGGCAUGUUCUAGAAUCUUUCAUUGACUUCCUUCCCAAAGAGACUUAGAAUUGCAGCUCAAGUAAUUACAUUCCUACCUGAAAAGAGAUGCAGCCUUUGAUCCUGACCCAGGGGAAAAACCAGUUGAUGGGAGAUUCUAUUGCUCUCUCUCCAAAUAAAUUCACAAAGAAUUUGUUAAAAGUAGAAAAAAGGGGCUGGUGCCAUGGCUCACUUGGUUAAUCCCCCGCCUGUUGUGCUGGCAUCCCAUAUGGCCAUCGGGUUCUAGUCCCGGCUGCUCCUCGUCCAGUCCAGUUCUCUGCUGUGGCCCAGGAGGGCAGUGGAGGAAGGCCCAAACUGCUUGCGCCCCUGCACCUGCAUGUGAGUACAGGAGGAAGCACCUGGCACCUGGGAGUGAACCAAUGGAAGGAACACCUUUCUCUGUCUCACUCUCUCACUGUCUAACUCUAUCAGUCAUAAAAAAAAAAAAAAAAAAAAAAAAAAAAAGUAAAAUCAACCAGGGCUCUCCUCACCUGCAGCCCCUCUAUUCUCUCCCUACACUCUGCCCCUAUACUAUGCUAAAAUCUUGUGAAAAAGAAAAAAGAAAAAUCUUAGACUAAUAAAUUCAGCUUUCACUUUUACAAUCACAAACAAGACAGAACCAAUCAGAACCAAACAAAAUGAUUCUUGAAUCUGGAUGUCCACAGAAGUGAAGCAGCUUCACAAAACUUCCACCAAAACGUGUUCCGGCAGCACUUACAGGAAACUCACAUGUGGGUUAAAGACAGCAUCGCUGCUAACAGCUUAACUGGCUAACUGGGUCCAAGCCUCCUGCAGUUAACGAAGGCGCAGCCACUGCAGCUCAGCUCCCCAUGGGCUUGCAGUGUCUGAGUCCACAUCAAUGGCCUCCUGCCAAUUUCCUCUCACGCCUGCCCGGGCCGGGAGUCCUCCGCACUGACUAGGGGGCCCAUGUUCAGAGGCACUGAUGGUCUCCAAGCUUCAGUCUGAGCCUCGGUCUAGCAGCAGGUUCUGCACAUUCUGAGCAGCAGGGCAGUCCCCGGCCUCCUGGCUCGGCUCUGGC
RNAcentral lists this long non-coding RNA (1447 nucleotides) under Oryctolagus cuniculus (rabbit). RNAcentral's name for it is "lncRNA (ENSOCUG00000039426.1)". Lineage: Eukaryota; Metazoa; Chordata; Mammalia; Lagomorpha; Leporidae. The record is from RNAcentral.